CCUUUCCCCCUCAGCACGUUCUUUCUCUCCCUCGGUGCUUCCUCUCCCGGUCUCCAGGGACACAGCUCUGGAGCAACCCGUUUCAGGGCUGUCAUCCAACUGGAAAAGUCCCGAGAGCUGGCGGCGGGGGGGGGGCGCAGCUCAGAGCCGGCCGGGUCCGGGUCCGCCUGGCCAGGCCUCCCGGGGACCCCAGCCCCACCCGACCAGAAGCCAGCGCGUGGCCAAGGUCUUCCGCGCCUUCGCCGCCUUCCCGGGUGGCCGCGGGGAGGAACUCGGGCCUGGAGGCGCCUUGGGAGAGAAGGGGCCGGGUCGGGCCUGGGCGAGGAGGACGGUCCCCGGCCGCGGGCAGCGUCCCGGGCAGCGUGGUCCCGCUAACCUCACCCGGGCAGCGCCUGCCUCGGGAUCCUCCCGUUUGCUCUGGGCCAGGGGGACCCCGGAUUAGAGGACUCCCGGAAGAUAAGGCUGCGGCCCGGGCCUGCACCGGCUGGGACAGCGCAGGAAGUGACAGACCUGAUGGAUCCCCGCCACCCCGCAGGGCAGAUGCACAAACAAACACGCAUGGACAGUCUAUAGCCACGCUUACACUGAAUGCCAUCCCUUCUGCUCAG
This 608-nucleotide long non-coding RNA is filed under the name Heterocephalus glaber (naked mole-rat). Its description in RNAcentral is "lncRNA (ENSHGLG00000032899.1)". Lineage: Eukaryota; Metazoa; Chordata; Mammalia; Rodentia; Bathyergidae. The record is from RNAcentral.